UACGAAGGGGGCUAGCGUUGCUCGGAAUCACUGGGCGUAAAGCGCACGUAGGCGGAUUGUUAAGUCAGGGGUGAAAUCCUGGAGCUCAACCCCGGAACUGCCUUUGAUACUGGGUAUCUCGAGUCCGAGAGAGGUGAGUGGAAUUCCGAGUGUAGAGGUGAAAUUCGUAGAUAUUCGGAGGAACACCAGUGGCGAAGGCGGCUCACUGGCUCGGUACUGACGCUGAGGUGCGAAAGCGUGGGGAGCAAACAGG
Molecule: ribosomal RNA, 253 nt
Filed under: uncultured bacterium
Lineage: Bacteria
Description: partial 16S ribosomal RNA
Rfam family: Bacterial small subunit ribosomal RNA
Source: RNAcentral